Molecule: non-coding RNA, 217 nt
Organism: Pelobates cultripes (western spadefoot toad)
Lineage: Eukaryota; Metazoa; Chordata; Amphibia; Anura; Pelobatidae
Source: the annotation of a GenBank genome assembly
CUUUGGGCAGACAGAGCAUCAAUAGUGUUUUUGCAAGAAACCCACUUUUGGGAGGGGGCCACGCCAGUACUGAGGCAGCAAAGGUUCCCACUGGGAUUUUUUGCUAACCACCAGACAGCCAAACGUGAGGGAGUGGCGAUACUAUUUGCGAGGGCGAUCCCGUUUCAAUGCACGGCAAAGGUGGCGGACCCAAUGGGGCGAUAUAUCUUCCUGAAAG